Molecule: long non-coding RNA, 1145 nt
Filed under: Felis catus (domestic cat)
Lineage: Eukaryota; Metazoa; Chordata; Mammalia; Carnivora; Felidae
Description: lncRNA (ENSFCAG00000044496.2)
Source: RNAcentral
GUUUGUCGAGGAAGGCUUCAUGGAAUGAUGGAAUUGUUUGAAAUCAUUGAAAAACAGAAGAAUCUUGCUCAGUAAAGCUGGAUGCAAAGGGCAUAAGAUUUCUAUCGUAUGUGAAAGCAGACAUAAAGGCCAGGAAGUUGGGAAAAUGAAGAAAAAGUAAAUUUCAAGGGAUAUACGCGCCAAGAAGGGAGGAAUCAAAAAUAUAGUCUGCAUCAACCUGGAAACUGAAGACAAAAACUGAAAUUAUCUAUCAUUCUAUCCAUAUCCAUAGAGACAUUAUGCAAAAUAAUCUUAUGUUACGUAGGCACCGUUGCUGCUGUGGAAUAAGCUGUAUUUUAAAGACGUGGUGACUUUAAGUGGCUCUCCCAAGGACGUUGGCUGGAAUGGAGCAUUAAAACAACUGUGAUCUUCUGGCUCUGCCCCUGUGUCUGUUUCAUAAACUGGCCUUGUCAAGAUGAAAAAUGUCAUGCCAUCCACAACCUGAAGAGGCAUGUCUGCGAAAGGACAAUAGGAACAGAGUCUGUCACUUCCCCUCAUCACAUAUACAGAUGGAUGAUCUCUAGUACUUCUGGCCAGAUUGUUUUGUUUCAACUCUACCUGUGACUGAGCUAUGGGUGCUGCUGAAAAUUUUACACCCAUAAUACAAGCAUUCCCCCUCACGCAACAAGUCAGCACACAGUUUACAGAUAUUAAUUACGGCGGUUUUCCUUUGUCAUUGUACCUCUCUUUGACGUAAGUAAAGCCAGUGACUCAGAAUUCUGGGCCCACGUCAUGGGGAUGUGGCAGCACUAACAGAAAAAUGAACAAGCCCGGAGAUGGGAAAAAUCUGUAAGAGGACUGAUUUAAACGGGAGAAGCCGUCUGUCACCAAAGACCUUUCUGCCCCCAGGCCCGCUGAUAUCAGUCAGAAAACAAGGUCACAAGGCUCCAGGACCAAGGAUCAUCAAGAAGGAAAGUUCACAGUGGCUUAUUGACAAGAUUGAAGAAAAACUCCUUAGAAAUUAAUAACAAGCACCUGACAGACAUGCCUGCUGUCUCCAAUGCAAGACAUCCCAUGACGUUCAGUAAUUAAUGGUAUGACCUACACAUUAUUGAGAAAAUUAAUGAGUACAUAUUUCAAGUGAAAUCCAUUUCGUAGAUGAAAAA